GUGCCAGAAGGUCACAAUCAGCUCAUUGUUUGCCUCAAGACUGAGGACAAGUCAUUUCAUACAUCAUUGCCUCAGUUUCCUCAUGGGUAAAAAAAGGCCAGAAUACAAGCAGUGCAAAUAAUCCUGCAAUUCACAAGGCUAUUGUGAGGAAAACACUUGGAAACCAAUGUUACUUAGAGCCCAGACAGGCCGUGAAGACAGGCCCAAAGACUCUCCCAGCUUACCAACCAAGUAAAAGGCAAGCAGGAGAGAUGGAUUUUUGAAGUGACGACCCUGGAGUUUCAUUUGGAAGUCCCUGUGUUUGUGCAGACAAAGCUGACUGGCAGGAGGAAUUUUCUGUAAGUUUCUCCUCAGAGAAGAUGACCACGGCAAAGAACAUGGAUCCCAGUUGUGCUCUGGCUUGCAGGAAGAUACAGAGCUUGAGGGAGAUGUUCUGAAAGUACAAAGUCAAGGUGAAGAUGAAAUCCCUAUUUGACAGCCC
Molecule: long non-coding RNA, 481 nt
Filed under: Sarcophilus harrisii (Tasmanian devil)
Lineage: Eukaryota; Metazoa; Chordata; Mammalia; Dasyuromorphia; Dasyuridae
Description: lncRNA (ENSSHAG00000022907.1)
Source: RNAcentral